GCACAAUUAUUAAGAAUAUGGCAAUAAACAAAUAUUCAACUUUUCAAUUACAUAUUCAAUUUAUAAUAGCAAGAAACAUAAAGAAGAUAAAGAUAGAAAGAACAGUGCAAAAGGGAUUUUUAUCCUAGUUCGUUUGUGAUCCACUACAAACUACAUCCAGGCCUCCCCUUCUGGAUCAGGGAGAUUUUCUUUCUUCACAAUAUUGAAAAAUGGAUACAAAUACUAAUUCAAUUACAAGCACAUAGGACGUUCCUUUCUUGAAAUCUAGUAUCUCUAAAUCCUUGGUUUGACUCUACCCUUCGCCUCUGAGAAAACCUUUCUUGCGAACUAGCCACAGCCAAGAUUCUUAUCCUCAAAUCAAGACAUCAUAGCCUUGAUGAAGAACCUCAAUCUCUGUGGUGAUCUCACGCCAAGAGACAAAUCCAGACUACACAAAAACACGUUAAACAGUAAGGUAUACUAAGCACAAUAAUGCUUAAAAUAUGACAAGAUAAAGACUCAAAGAUUAAUCAUUUUACUAACCACUUAAGCCAUCAAGAUUCAAAUGAGUUAAUCAAUAUCAGUAUACAAAUAAUUUCUCUCUAACAAACUCUGAUGCAUGAGCAUGUGAGCAAGAUAAGAAUGGAUACAAAAUUAUGCAAAAACAGCAAGCAUAUAACAGUAAUUAAACCAGCAUAAUCUAUCUUCUCACGCAUGCAACUCUCUUGCAAAAACACAGUAAAACACGUAUGCAAAAUGCUCUCUAAACAACCCUAUACAAUAGAAUGCAAUGAUGUGGGUUUCUGAACAAUGCCUUGUAUUUAUAGCAUAGAGAAUAUGCGGUUACAUUCAUUGCAAAAACAGUUAAACAAUUAAAACAGAUUUCAGAAUGCACGUUUAUUUUAAAUAUUCUAUAUAUUUUUUUAAUUUUAAUAAUUAUAUUUUUUAUAGGAUAUGAGUUGAUAUGAUCACGUUUUGAGCAUAUGUUUAGUAUAUUGUGUGAAAACAAUCUGAGGACAGGAUAAUGGAUGGAGAUCCCGAAAGAAAAAUGGACAUAAUCUUACGACGAAGAGAGAUGAUACAGUCAUAUGACCACCAACCUUGCAGAAUGCAUUAAUGGUUGUGAACACUCAAUUUUGUCCGGACUGACUUCAUGAAAAAUAAAAUUCGACUAAGUUAAAUUUUUAAAUAACACAUUACAAGUUUAAGGUGUUCAUAAUUAUAUUGUAUUCAUUCUCUCGGGUAUGAGGUUUGUACUGAUUGGCAUUUCAAGCGGUCUUGUACUUUGUUAAACUAAACACUGAAUUGCAUUGCUAGCUGCGGUGAUAACAAAUGAACUACUUUAAUCUCCUCUGUCUCAAACUUGGCCCAUUUAUGAUCAUACAUUACAUAAUUUUGGGAGAACAAUAAUUUCUUAUACCAAACUUUUCUUUGCACGUAUUCACACUCAUGUCGUGACCACUGAUGAGAAGUUGAAGUCAUUUUCGUUACAACGGUAAUGAGUAGAUAAAUUUUGUCCCCAUGUUAUUUUCUUCACUCACUGACUCUAAUCUUGUAAUCAAAUUUUGAAGUAUCAGUUUUUCAAGAGUGGCUAUGAAGAAGAAAAGGAUGAGGGAUCUCAAUAGAGCUUCAUGACUUACAACCAAAGGUGCCAGUGUGCUAGAGAACGCUACAACUGAUUGAGCGCUCCACGUUUGCUAUACUUGCUGUAUUAUGUUGGCCAAGGAUUUCAUGGGAGAACAUGAAGCGUGCAAUGUUGUCAUGUAGCAUAUUAAGGCUAACUGAAAUUGCAAGCAAUUGGUUGAAAAGUCUGGAUUAAGGAAAGCUAGUUGUUAAAGUAUGGCUAUUACAAUAGAGCAUUCUAGGUAAUCAAAGGACGUACAAGAAAAUUAAGCAUGAAUCAACAUAAUUCCAAGUAAACAGCACUCAAUGGAUAAAAUAUAUUGGCAUUUCAGUUACAAUCAGCUAAAGACCACAGUCUGAGGCAAUCAAAAUCCAGCUGUGGGUUAUCAAUGUAAAAAAUUCCAAAAAAUAGCAAUAAAGAAGAUAUAUCAUAAAUUCCUACAUUCCAGUUACACAUCAUCGUACAAACAUCAAGUGCAUUCAUGGAGUUAACUCAAGGGAUUCCAAAAGAAUGUCAACCUGCCAUAAUUCAGCAUAAGGUGACACUAAAAAGGUGCAAAUCAAUAAUUAUUGAUUUCAGUUUUGCUAGGCAGCCUUAAUGGUCAGUUUUAAAAGUUAAAAAUCAGAAACAGAGAGUCAGGGCAAGUUGCUAAAUCAAAGGGCCAAUGGAAGGUUUCUCUUAAUUAUCACAAUCAGCCUUUGGCCUCUAUAAAAGGGGAUACACACGACAUAUACAAAGGGGGGUGAAAAACAGAGAGUGAAAACAGAGGGCAUUCAGUAAGAAAGAGAUAACAAACCAGAUUCCACAUACAGUGACAUACAAGAUAAAGUCCAGAAACAUACACUGCAACAGAGCAGAGCAAAACACAGAGAACAGAGAAAAGAGAACAUCUUGGAACAAAGAUUCAACACGCAGAGGGAUAAGAGAACAAAGCAUAUUCAGGUAAGUCACCCACCCUAUUCAUUCAAGUGCUAACAAACAGAAAUGAACCUUACUCAUUGCGAAUCACAUAUCCUAAUGUUCAUAUCAUUAACAUAAGUCGAGGGUUUACUCCCUAAUGAUUUUUCAUACAUUCAGAGAACAUAAGGGGAACGAUUAUGAUAGUUUUAAUAUGAAUAAAAUCAUGCAAUUUUACUAGCUUAGUACUAACAUUUCAUACAUAACAAGUUCGGAAAGAAAUAGUACACCCUUUGGGUUUUAACAUGUUUCUUACACAUCUAAUCGGAAAUCACACAAAGAACACACACUUUUCAUUCAUUUGAUUUCAACAGAGAUGUAUAUAUUAACAUGAAAAUGCAGCGCAAUAAUGUUAAGAUAUAGGGUUCAUUUCUGGAUAAUUCUUAGCCUAAAUUAGUUACAUAUAACCAACCAAUAAUCAGCCAAUGUAGUUCUGUAGAAUUAAAGAAGGGUAAAAUUCAUUACCCAAACCCUUUUGUGUUUUUGCCGAUUCCAAAUCGCAAUCCUUAAUACCAUCCCCACCUAGAGAGAACCACACAUUCAACUCUUUUCCUUGGCCUUAAUGAACCUCAGUGAUGAUAACGAGAAUCAGAAACAACAAAAAGUAAUAAUAAUGCGAAACGAAGGGAGUAGAGUUCAUUACCGACCCGAGGCCACCUCGAUCUGGCCAUAAAUCACCCAGGAGCGUGAUCAUCCGUCAUCACCGAGAGUCAUCGCAAACCGCCAUUAAAUAAAGGACCUUGUCGUCACUGGAAAGGGAACCGAAGAGGAGUCAACACGACUUAGUGGCCGUGUUACAUGGGGGAGAUACCUUGUUCGCCGCUUUCCGUCACUGCACCGCCCCUCUCAACUUCCGUUGCUGCCAUCGAAGGUGAGGAGGAGGAGGAGAAGAUUCGGGAUUCAAAUCCCUUGGCCAUCGAAGGUGCGGAAGAGGAGAGGAUUUGGGGGUUUGUCCCUCUUCUUCUAAGAUUAGGGAUUCUAAUCCCUUGGCCACGUAAAAAAUGAGAAAGAGAGUGUGAGAUUUAGGGAUUUUCUUUCCCUUUACCCUUGUCCAUUACCGUAGGAUGAAGAAGAUAGAGCAAUUAGGGGAUAAAUCCCAUAUUUCUACGAUUUGUACGUGAGGUUUUUUUUUAUUUAAGUCUAUCUUGUCAUUGUUUU
RNAcentral lists this long non-coding RNA (3718 nucleotides) under Lupinus angustifolius (narrow-leaved blue lupine). RNAcentral describes it as "long non-coding RNA (LANG_LNC003250)". Lineage: Eukaryota; Viridiplantae; Streptophyta; Magnoliopsida; Fabales; Fabaceae. The record is from RNAcentral.